GCGGCCGUGAUCUUCAUUGGGAUCGGCUGAGGAACUUCCGGGCUCCAUAGAGCACGAUGGCGGAUAACGUCCGCCCAGGGUGACCUGAGAGAUAGCGCAACAGAGAACAGACCGCCCGUCCUCGACGGGUAAGGGUGAAACGGCGGUGUAAGAGACCACCGGGCCUCUGGUAACAGUAGGUCGCAUGGCAAGCCUCAUCGGGAGCAAGGCCAAGCAGAUGGCGGUAAGGGCUGCUCGCCCGUGUCAUCGGGUAGGCUGCUAGAGCCUGGCGGUAACGUCAGGUCGAGAUGGAUGGCCAUCCGUGCCGUGCGUUCGCGCACGGCACGACAGAACCCGGGGUAUAAGAGGUCUCAUUUU
RNAcentral lists this RNase P RNA (357 nucleotides) under Bifidobacterium longum. RNAcentral's name for it is "partial RNase P RNA component class A". It matches the Rfam family "Bacterial RNase P class A". Rfam says of the family: Ribonuclease P (RNase P) is a ubiquitous endoribonuclease, found in archaea, bacteria and eukarya as well as chloroplasts and mitochondria. Lineage: Bacteria; Bacillati; Actinomycetota; Actinomycetes; Bifidobacteriales; Bifidobacteriaceae. The record is from RNAcentral.